UACGUAGGGUGCGAGCGUUGUCCGGAAUUAUCGGGCGUAAAGAGCUUGUAGGCGGUUUGUCGCGUCUGCUGUGAAAAUCCGGGGCUCAACCCCGGACUUGCAGUGGGUACGGGCAGGCUAGAGUGUUGCAGGGGAGACUGGAAUUCCUGGUGUAGCGGUGAAAUGCGCAGAUAUCAGGAGGAACACCGGUGGCGAAGGCGGGUCUCUGGGCAACAACUGACGCUGAGGAGCGAAAGCGUGGGGAGCGAACAGG
Molecule: ribosomal RNA, 253 nt
Filed under: uncultured bacterium
Lineage: Bacteria
Description: partial 16S ribosomal RNA
Rfam family: Bacterial small subunit ribosomal RNA
Source: RNAcentral